Molecule: ribosomal RNA, 394 nt
Filed under: uncultured bacterium
Lineage: Bacteria
Description: bacterial SSU rRNA
Rfam family: Bacterial small subunit ribosomal RNA
Source: RNAcentral
GUGUCAGCAGCCGCGGUAAGACGAACCGUGCGAACGUUGUUCGGAAUCACUGGGCUUAAAGGGCGCGUAGGCGGUCGAUCAAGUCCGGGGUGAAAUCUUUCGGCUUAACCGGAAAAGUGCCUUGGAUACUGAUCGGCUGGAGGGAGGUAGGGGCCAUGGGAACUUCCGGUGGAGCGGUGAAAUGCGUUGAUAUCGGAAGGAACUCCGGUGGCGAAAGCGCAUGGCUGGACCUCUUCUGACGCUGAGGCGCGAAAGCUAGGGGAGCAAACGGGAUUAGAUACCCCGGUAGUCCUAGCCCUAAACGAUGGGUACUAGGUUGUGGACUUAACAUGGGUUCACAGCCGAAGCAAAAGUGUUAAGUACCCCGCCUGGGGAGUAUGGUCGCAAGGCUGAA